This 647-nucleotide ribosomal RNA is filed under the name Salmonella enterica. RNAcentral describes it as "partial 23S ribosomal RNA". It matches the Rfam family "Bacterial large subunit ribosomal RNA", at positions 1 to 688 of the family's 2925-position model. Lineage: Bacteria; Pseudomonadati; Pseudomonadota; Gammaproteobacteria; Enterobacterales; Enterobacteriaceae. The record is from RNAcentral.
GGUUAAGCGACUAAGCGUACACGGUGGAUGCCCUGGCAGUCAGAGGCGAUGAAGGGCGUGCUAAUCUGCGAUAAGCGCCGGUAAGGUGAUAUGAACCGUUAUAACCGACGAUACCCGAAUGGGGAAACCCAGUGUGACUCGUCACACUAUCAUUAACUGAAUCCAUAGGUUAAUGAGGCGAACCGGGGGAACUGAAACAUCUAAGUACCCCGAGGAAAAGAAAUCAACCGAGAUUCCCCCAGUAGCGGCGAGCGAACGGGGAGGAGCCCAGAGCCUGAAUCAGCAUGUGUGUUAGUGGAAGCGUCUGGAAAGGCGCGCGAUACAGGGUGACAGCCCCGUACACAAAAGCGCAUGUGCUGUGAGCUCGAUGAGUAGGGCGGGACACGUGGUAUCCUGUCUGAAUAUGGGGGGACCAUCCUCCAAGGCUAAAUACUCCUGACUGACCGAUAGUGAACCAGUACCGUGAGGGAAAGGCGAAAAGAACCCCGGCGAGGGGAGUGAAAAAGAACCUGAAACCGUGUACGUACAAGCAGUGGGAGCACAGGUUUACCUGUGUGACUGCGUACCUUUUGUAUAAUGGGUCAGCGACUUAUAUUCUGUAGCAAGGUUAACCGAAUAGGGGAGCCGCAGGGAAACCGAGUCUUAAU